AGCCUUGAGGUGUUUGACACAUCAGAUUGCAAAUCUGAAGUAGCAGGCUAACACCUGCCAGGGCUU
Molecule: transfer RNA, 66 nt
Filed under: Sphaeramia orbicularis (orbiculate cardinalfish)
Lineage: Eukaryota; Metazoa; Chordata; Actinopteri; Kurtiformes; Apogonidae
Description: tRNA-Cys
Rfam family: tRNA
About the family: Transfer RNA (tRNA) molecules are approximately 80 nucleotides in length. Their secondary structure includes four short double-helical elements and three loops (D, anti-codon, and T loops).
Source: RNAcentral